UUAAAAUAGGGACUGGGGGUGUAGCUCAGUGGUAGAGUGCUUGUCUAGCACAUGCAAGGCCCUGGAUUCAAUCCCUAUUACCAUAAAAAAAUAAAGUUCCAGGCCUGGGAAGAUUGUGGCACAUACCAGUGAGAUUAUUGAGGAGCCAUAGGCCCUCCGGAAGCAGACUGGGCUGUUUCUGAAGGAAGAACUGGAAGAGGAUAAAUAACGCUGCCACAAUACGUUCAUCUUUGAGUUGCAUCUGCCCUCCCAUAGCCUCUACUGCCACCUCUGUCAGCAGGUUGCUUAGACACCGGAGCACAGGGCAUGCGAGCUGCAAAGACAAGUUGAAGGUCAGGUUUGAGGAGGAAGGGGUUAUCCGAGCACAAGAAGAAAAGAAUAUGAAAAUGUCUACCACACUAUUCUUGGGUUUUGUUCACUGGGGAUAUAACAUAGGGCCUUGCACAUGCUAGGCAAGUGUAGUAUCAUUGAGCUACAGCUCCAACUCUCUACCUGUUCUUUUAACCUACCAGCUCCAGUCCUGCCUCCUCUGUUCUCUGGACAGCCCCAGCCAAGUCCAACAACAGCAUCCCCAGAGUAGACAGAGCCCCAUGGGUGAUGAGCAGGGUAUUAUUGACCUGGCUGCGCAACAGGAAGCAAGCAGUCACUAUCCAGAUUCCCCAGUGUAUACAGACACAGCUCCUGAGAGCAGUCAACAAAAGCACAGGGCUGCAUUCAUCUCAUGCCAAGCCAGGGAUGGAUGAGAAAGAUGGAACAGUCUGGUUCUUAAAGCUUACAAAGAGCCCCAGCUGACCUGUAUCACCUGCACGGACCUGAUGAAGAUUUGUUGCGUCUCAGGGUGCUGUAAGCCUUGACGAAGACUGACCAGAGCCUUUUCUCUCUCCUUUUCCUCUGUACCCCUCUGAGCUAGCCGCAAGAACUGCUGGACCUGAAGCCCAGAACAAAAAGAGAACACACAACAGCCAGGAAGCAAGUCCUGAGAUCCUCUCUGCCCACUUCACCUGUGAGGCCUUUAAUAUGACACCAUCCCUAAAGCUUGUCAUUAAUACUAACAUAGCUAAUACACACCAAUCUUGCAAGGGAGCACACAGGCAGGGAAUAAAGAGCUGAGAUCCAGGGCCUAGGGAGAUAGCUCAGUUGGUAGAGUGCUUGCCUUGCAAGCACAAGGCCCUGGGUUCGAUCCCCAGCACCACCAAAAACAGUACUCACCCUGCCACAUACCCUACAAGGGACCUGAACCUCAGAUUCCUCACCUGAAAAAUGAGAAUGACAGCAUCUAGUCUGCCUUCUCACAAGGUUAUUUCAAUGUAACAUUCAAACCCCUCAGCCUAACAAAACCUACCCCUCCAGCCAUUCUCCCCACCCAACCUACAUCCCAGGAACACCUGGUAUUUGUUUUAAUGCUUCCAAGCUUUUGCACAUCUAUUCCCUCUGCCUGGAGUGCUCUCUCCAGAUUCCCACUCCCUUCAGAUUCAUGCUUAUCACUGCCUCAGGGAAGUUGGCUCUUUCUGGCUUCCUUCCACAGACUGAAGAGUUUCUCUUGAGCCUCCUUCCAUUAUGAUAGGUGGUAUCACAACUGUCUCCUUCAAUGUUCUGUGAGCACUUCAAAGAAAAGAACUUUUCAUCUUUGUGUACCUCAAUGCCUACUACCUUGUCCUGGCAUAAAGUAAGCACACAAUGAAUAAGCAGUAUAGCCUAGGUGUUAAUUGCUUUGUUAACUAUCUAUGUAAGCAAGGGCAAUACAAACACAAGGCAUACUCUAAUGCUUGCUGAAUGUAUUUCAUUUAUUCAUUCAAUAAAUACUGGACAUCAAUAU
Long non-coding RNA from Sciurus carolinensis (gray squirrel), 1816 nucleotides. RefSeq lists it as uncharacterized. The record is from RefSeq and is a predicted model, not a curated record. NCBI's taxonomy places the organism in Eukaryota, Metazoa, Chordata, Mammalia, Rodentia, Sciuridae. The transcript has 3 exons.